Molecule: non-coding RNA, 50 nt
Organism: Trichobilharzia regenti
Lineage: Eukaryota; Metazoa; Platyhelminthes; Trematoda; Strigeidida; Schistosomatidae
Source: Rfam
GUACUGAUGAAGAGUCCAACACUAGGACGAAACAGUUGACUGUUCAGUAC